Molecule: transfer RNA, 68 nt
Filed under: Marmota monax (woodchuck)
Lineage: Eukaryota; Metazoa; Chordata; Mammalia; Rodentia; Sciuridae
Description: tRNA.Ala
Source: RNAcentral
GCUGGGGCUCAGUGGUAGAGCACUUGCCUAGCAUGUGUGAGGCACUGGGUUCAAUUCUCAGCACUGCA